AGAUAUCGUGCUUUCCAGAAGGGCGUGUUAUCUAAAAGAAUUUCUCGAUAUAUCUGCUUGCACCGUGGCCAAUAUUUAAAACAAACAAAACUUUCAUCAAAUAUGGCGAAAAGACGGGAUGUUGAAAUGCAAAUGAGCUUGCUCUUGACGUCAUAUUAUCGAUAAAAAUUACACGCUCGAGUUUACAUACUGCGUAGGCCGCUCUUAAAAUUGCAAGUGUUUGAAAUUUGUGUUUAAUUUCUCGCUUAAACGUGAGAGAUCUUACUUAAACUUCGCUUGGAACCGUGUGAAGUUCGCUUAAUACUUCAUUUGAACGCUCAUACAACAAGAAGGUAGAUUUACAGCGGCUUGAAAGAUGAUUUCUUGGCGUUUUUAUUUCGUAUUUGCUGUGAUCUUUUACUCGAAAGCAGUACUCUCUUGCUACGACGAUGACGGUUGUUCAGCCUUUGAGACGUGUUGUGAUGACAGCAUUUGUCGUUCUGACUGCCCACGAGACAAUUCAGGAGUGAGCUCGGCAGUCUUGGUCGUCAUCAUAAUCUUUGCCGUCGUUUUUAAAGUCGUAUUUUGGAUUGCUGUUUGUUAUUGUCGACGAAGACGCUAUCGUGGCAUCGUGUUUCAACGAUUCGACACCGCUCCUCGCACGGCAGUUGUCGUCAACUCGUCAAGUACUCAAUCUCAGAUGAUAAAUCCAGUGUCAGGGUAUGCACCCCAGCAGCAAGGUUAUAACCCUCAACAGCACGCAUAUAACCCGCCACAACAAGUACAGCAAGGAUCCCCUGGUUAUGGUUAUCCACCGAAUAAAAUCCCAAAUACAGGCGAUGUUUUCGUGAACCCGGCUAAUAAUCCUCCUCCGCCUUACACCGAUAGCCCUCAGUCUUGAACUGCUACAGUAUAGUUUGUAUCUGAACUAAUUCUGAAUUGUAGUUUGUAGAUUUAUAGAAAGUGUUUAACUUUUUAAGAACGGUUUGUGCUAGUGUAUAGGUAGUGCCAAUAGGCAAUAAUAUUAGAAAACUUCAAAUUGAUAAAGAAGCAACAUCCUGAAGUUUCGAGCGAAUGCCCUUCGUACGCUAAUGACUUCUGCCCUUCGCACGAAGCUCUCCUUGAAUUUGUCGCCUUAUAGUUGCUUUCUUAUCAAUCCGAAAGGUUUCUGAAAUUUUUACGGUAUGAAGUGUUUAUAACAUAAACAAUUUAAAACAGUAUUGUUGAUUUGCAGUAUGGAAUUUUAUGAUAUCUCAAACGUGUGGUGGUCCAGUGUAGGUUGUAUUCUACAAUAAGCUGAUGUUGUUUGUGUCUAAAUUACUAUAUACUAUACAUAUAAAUAUAAUACAACCCUCAACUCUUGAUAUUAUGGGACCUGGAUGUUAUAUAUGCGAUCGUUUGUAGUGUAAAGAAUUUUAGUCCUUUUAGAAAACUGUUAAGGGGGUUCACAUAUAGGUGGUAUUCUACAAUAAGCUGAUAUUGUUUGUGUCUGAAUUACAAUUAUAUUUCUAUAAAUAUAAUGCAACCCUCAACCGUGAUAUUAUAUAUGCGAUCUUGACGUUAUAUGCGAUCGUUUGUAGUGCAAAGGCCUUCAGUUUUUUUCGAACGUCACAUUGAGUUAAAACUUAAAAAUAAUUUUAAGGUAUUUUAGUGUAUUAAUAUAGUAAAAUCGUGCUGUAUUUUAGCCUUGGUUUGAUAUGAUUUGUAGUAUGUAUAUUGCUGACUAGUGUUAUUACAUAGGUAAACAGCAAGGCAAAUUUAAGUCGUAGCCGAAGGCCAUUAUAAAUGCACUCGAAUUUCCACAUCCAAAACACUCCUACAAUUAGGAACUUGAACUUCCUUUUCCUUUAUAAGAACAAAAAAUCUUUGUUUCUUUGAUAUCAAAAGAGGUACGUGCUGAAGCCUAGAGAAUACUUAUGAUUUAUAUGUAGUUUACAUGAGGUGUAAACUAUUAUAAACUGGCCGUUGGGAAAGAUCGACCAUAUGGAAACCAGGCUAAAGCAUAGAUAUCUUAUAUAAACUAGAUACGAUAGCGUAUCUCUUUUAGUAAAAUUGAAGCCAAGAAUAUUCCAGCGGUUACCCCCAUUUGAAUAGACGGUGGCCAUGUUGGAGUUUCCCACUCGCUAAUAAACGCUUAAAAAAACAGCAAUAACUUUCAUCAUUUGAAUAGUUUGAAAAUGUAUUUGGAAUAGGUUUAACUUAAUGUUUAAGUUCCCUGUUUAAGAAAUAGAAAACAUACGAGUCUUCUCAUUUCAUGGGAAUAUCCCGAGUCUGCAAUCACGGCUUCAAUUUUUUGAAUUGCAGAAUAAUUAGAUGCACUAUCUAAUGUAUAUAAGAUAUCUAUGGGCUAAACGCGGAAAAUAAGCAGCGGAUCAGAGGAGUUAUCCGAUCCGAUCCAGCAAGCGAUUUACAGUAAAAGGACAAGUGGAAUGAUCGGAUCGGCAAAGGAAAAAAAUGGAGCUCGUUCCAGUCUUACAUCCUCCAUUUUGUAUAAAUUUAUACAUGAGGUAUUAUCUGUGGUGUUAUUUAAUUAUUUUAAUUUAUGUGACAUAAUACGGCAUUUAUUAGAUUGGUCACCAGGUUUAAUCCGCGGGACCGAACCAAAAAAAAGUUGAAAAUAUUUCAACUUUUUAUUUAUCCGGCCAGCAACGUCGCCGGAUCAAUCGAAACCAAACGUUUCUACUGAUGGCGCAUGCGCGGAUUUUUGUUUUGUUCCGAUCCGCUGCUUAUUUUCCGGAGUGGAAAUUAGCCUUUAAGUGGUAAGUAAAAUAAUUGAAUUAGAUCAUUCUAGAAUCAUAUAAAAUUCUAUAUUAUAUUUGUAACGUUUCAAAUUAUAGAAUUUGAUACCUGUUCGCUUUCAACUAAUUUGAAUCACAAAGCAUUUGACUUUUUUUAGUCCGUAAAUUGCACGAAACGCAUCGAGUAUAUACACGCUCGCAUUUUACACAGACACAGUGCGUGCUUAGCUGCUCUUAAAAAUUGCAAAUAUUUACAAUUAUACUUUUGAUUUUUUCGCUUAAACUUGAGAGAAUCUUGCCUAAAAAGUUCUUGAAAACUUUAUACAUAAAGAAGGCGCAUUUGGAGCGGCUUUAAAGAUGAUUUCUUGGCGUUUCUAUUUCGUAUUUGUUGUGGCUUUCCACUCGAAGUCAGUAGAAUGCUCAAGCGACAAUUCAGGCAUGUGCUCGGCAAAAGUCGUCCCCAUAAGCGUUGCUGCCGUUUUAAAACUCAUAUAUAUUUGUGGUUGCUGUUAUUUGCUGGCGAGGAAGGCGCUGUCGACGAAAGCGCAAUCCUGACAAUGAUGAAAUUGUGAUUCAACGACACAACACCGAUCCUCCCGCGGCUGUUGUUGCCAAUUUGUCAAAUAUUGGAAUGAUGAAUACAGCAUCAGGAUAUACACCAGAGCAACGUGGUUAUGAUCCUCAAGAACAGGCAUAUUACCCUCCACAACAGGCACAGCAAGGAUUUCCUGGUUGUGGCUAUCGCACAGAAUACAAUCCGGCGAUGGUUUGGUGAACCCGGCGAAUAACCCUCCUCCCCCCAAACACCGACAGCCCUCAAUCUUGUAUAGCCACAGUAUAGUCUGUAUAUAUCUGAACUAUAAUGAUAAACUAUAUAGUUUGUAGAUUUAUAUAAAUAGGUUAACUUUUUACCACUCUGCUUUUUACGGUAUAUAUAAGUGUUGUAACAUAAAAAAUUUAAAACAGAAAUGUAGAUGCACAGUAUGGAAUCUUAUGAUAUCUCAAACGUGUGGGCAGUGGCGUAGCCAGCAAUUUAAGCCAGCG
RNAcentral lists this long non-coding RNA (3761 nucleotides) under Paramuricea clavata. Lineage: Eukaryota; Metazoa; Cnidaria; Anthozoa; Malacalcyonacea; Plexauridae. The record is from RNAcentral.